RNAcentral lists this small RNA (331 nucleotides) under Sinorhizobium meliloti 2011. RNAcentral describes it as "putative ncRNA". The record is from RNAcentral. Lineage: Bacteria; Pseudomonadati; Pseudomonadota; Alphaproteobacteria; Hyphomicrobiales; Rhizobiaceae.
UACAGCAAGGACUGAUAACGCUACGAAGAGUGGCUUCGGAGACGCCUAAUCCGUGAGGCGGAGACAGAGCAUUCGGUCUUUCUGGAACCGGUGCCCUGGUUCUUGCCCGUGUCAAGGAAAGGCCGCUCGUCGUCCAUGGGACGUCUCGGAUCUGGAAAUCAGCUGAUCGCCGUAGCAGUUUUCCUGCCGGGACGUGCUUCCUCCCUGGACUUAGCUAGAGGUGAUUAUCGAGGAUAGCGAUUGAAUAUCAAUAAGAUAUUGAAACUUUUUAAUGUCUAUAUUCAGAGACCGUAACGACUCGACGUCAUCGGAGAGGGCGAUGUUUCGUGGC